CCUACGGGAGGCAGCAGUAGGGAAUCUUCCGCAAUGGGCGAAAGCCUGACGGAGCAACGCCGCGUGAGUGAUGAAGGUCUUCGGAUCGUAAAACUCUGUUAUUAGGGAAGAACAUAUGUGUAAGUAACUGUGCACAUCUUGACGGUACCUAAUCAGAAAGCCACGGCUAACUACGUGCCAGCAGCCGCGGUAAUACGUAGGUGGCAAGCGUUAUCCGGAAUUAUUGGGCGUAAAGCGCGCGUAGGCGGUUUUUUAAGUCUGAUGUGAAAGCCCACGGCUCAACCGUGGAGGGUCAUUGGAAACUGGAAAACUUGAGUGCAGAAGAGGAAAGUGGAAUUCCAUGUGUAGCGGUGAAAUGCGCAGAGAUAUGGAGGAACACCAGUGGCGAAGGCGACUUUCUGGUCUGUAACUGACGCUGAUGUGCGAAAGCGUGGGGAUCAAACAGGAUUAGAUACCCUGGUAGUCCACGCCGUAAACGA
This 479-nucleotide ribosomal RNA is filed under the name Staphylococcus aureus. RNAcentral describes it as "bacterial SSU rRNA". It matches the Rfam family "Bacterial small subunit ribosomal RNA", at positions 338 to 809 of the family's 1533-position model. The record is from RNAcentral. Lineage: Bacteria; Bacillati; Bacillota; Bacilli; Caryophanales; Staphylococcaceae.